RNAcentral lists this ribosomal RNA (419 nucleotides) under uncultured prokaryote. RNAcentral's name for it is "bacterial SSU rRNA". It matches the Rfam family "Bacterial small subunit ribosomal RNA", at positions 338 to 774 of the family's 1533-position model. The record is from RNAcentral.
CCUACGGGCGGAGGAAGAAGGGAAGAUGAGGAAUGGGCGAAAGCAGGAAGGAGAAAGAGCGCGUGUGCGAAGAAGGCCUUCGGGUUGUAAAGCACUUUUUGAGAGGAUGAGGAAGGACGGUACUCUCAGAAUAAGUCUCGGCUAACUACGUGCCAGCAGCCGCGGUAACACGUAGGAGGCAAACGUUAUCCGGAUUUACUGGGCGUAAAGCGCGUGUAGGUGGUUUGGUAAGUAGAGCGUGAAAGCUCCUGGCUCAACUGGGAGAGGUCGUUCUAAACUGCCGGACUAGAGGAUGGUAGAGGGAGGGGGAAUGCCGGGUGUAGCGGUGGAAUGCGCAGAUAUCCGGAGGAACACCAGUGGCGAAAGCGGCCUCCUGGACCACUCCUGACACUCAGACGCGAAAGCUAGGGUAGCAAACG